This 77-nucleotide transfer RNA is filed under the name Clavibacter sepedonicus. RNAcentral's name for it is "Clavibacter michiganensis subsp. sepedonicus tRNA-Leu". It matches the Rfam family "tRNA". From Rfam's summary of the family: Transfer RNA (tRNA) molecules are approximately 80 nucleotides in length. Their secondary structure includes four short double-helical elements and three loops (D, anti-codon, and T loops). Lineage: Bacteria; Bacillati; Actinomycetota; Actinomycetes; Micrococcales; Microbacteriaceae. The record is from RNAcentral.
GCCCCCGUAGUCCAAUUGGCAGAGACGGGCGACUUAAAAUCGCUACAGGUCAGGGUUCGAGUCCCUGCGGGGCACCG